Molecule: small nucleolar RNA, 223 nt
Filed under: Micromonas commoda
Lineage: Eukaryota; Viridiplantae; Chlorophyta; Mamiellophyceae; Mamiellales; Mamiellaceae
Description: Micromonas sp. RCC299 Plant small nucleolar RNA U3
Rfam family: Plant small nucleolar RNA U3
About the family: Small nucleolar RNAs (snoRNAs) are involved in the processing and modification of rRNA in the nucleolus.
Source: Rfam by way of RNAcentral
UCGACUGUACUUGAACAGGAUUCAUUUCUACAGUAGAUACACCCUAAUCAGUAUUCUCCAAAUACUGACAAGCUUCUCAUGUCGGAAGAAGAGUAAUGACUCCCUAGUCUGAGCCGGAAGUCUGCAUCGCUCCCAAGGUUGAAAGACCAGGGACUGUGCUUGAUGAUGGCCCCCUAACAUCAUUCCAGUUGGGGCGGACGGCUAGGGAGCGUUCGGACGGCUG